GCAGCAAUAGUUCAGCGGUAGAAUGUUGGCUUCCCAAGCCGAAGGUCGCGGGUUCGAAUCCCGUUUGCUGCU
This 72-nucleotide transfer RNA is filed under the name Bacteroidales bacterium. Its description in RNAcentral is "tRNA-Gly". It matches the Rfam family "tRNA". From Rfam's summary of the family: Transfer RNA (tRNA) molecules are approximately 80 nucleotides in length. Lineage: Bacteria; Pseudomonadati; Bacteroidota; Bacteroidia; Bacteroidales. The record is from RNAcentral.